RNAcentral lists this ribosomal RNA (255 nucleotides) under uncultured bacterium. RNAcentral's name for it is "partial 16S ribosomal RNA". It matches the Rfam family "Bacterial small subunit ribosomal RNA", at positions 524 to 776 of the family's 1533-position model. The record is from RNAcentral.
UACGUAGGGUGCAAGCGUUAAUCGGAAUUAUUGGGCGUAAAGAGCUCGUAGGCGGUUCGUCGCGUCGGCUGUGAAAUCCCGGAGCUCAACUCCGGGUCUGCAGUCGAUACGGGCGGACUUGAGUACUGCAGGGGAGACUGGAAUUCCUGGUGUAGCGGUGAAAUGCGCAGAUAUCAGGAGGAACACCGGUGGCGAAGGCGGGUCUCUGGGGCAGUAACUGACGCUGAGGAGCGAAAAGCGUGGGGAGCGAACAGG